This 367-nucleotide ribosomal RNA is filed under the name uncultured eukaryote. RNAcentral describes it as "partial 18S ribosomal RNA". It matches the Rfam family "Eukaryotic small subunit ribosomal RNA", at positions 592 to 975 of the family's 1831-position model. The record is from RNAcentral.
CAGUAGCGUAUAUUAAAGUUGUUGCAGUUAAAAUGCUCGUAGUUGAAGUUCGGAUGCAGCAGAGCUUGGAAACGCUGUUAUGGUGCUUCCGUUGCUUUUGCUUGUCCACAGUGCGUUGCAAGUACGUAUGUGCUUGUGCGUGCAUUUUACUUUGAGAAACAUAGGGUGUUCCACGCAUGUUACGGCAUGAAUAUUCCAGCAUGGGAUAAUCUGGUACGACUUCCAAUCUGCCAUUUUGGUUCGUAGGUUGGAAGUAAUGAUUAAUAGGGACUGUCGGGGGCAUUGGUAUUUGACUGUCAGAGGUGAAAUUCUUAGAUUCGUUGAGGACCAACCACUGCGAAAACAUUUGUCAAGGAUGUCUCCAUUA